This 1712-nucleotide unclassified non-coding RNA is filed under the name Hevea brasiliensis (rubber tree). The record is from RNAcentral. Lineage: Eukaryota; Viridiplantae; Streptophyta; Magnoliopsida; Malpighiales; Euphorbiaceae.
UUGAGAAAGGAAACCUGAUCUACAAGAUUGAUGUUUUCCUGAACUCUAGCAUUUUCCGAAGUUGGAAAGACUCAAUAAUAGUUCUUCAGACUACUAAGUCUCAAUCACGCAUGUGCGAGGAACUGAAGUUGACCAGCCACUGCAUUGAUGCUGUAGCAUCCAGGGCUUCCGUUGAUGUUUCCAGGGUGGAUUGGUCCUAUACCUAUAAUCGUAAAAAGCUUCCAGAGGAGAAUGGAAAUGAUCCUAACUUGAAUGGAAUUAGAUGCCGCAUGGUGCCAAAAGAUUGGUGGGUUGAGGAUUUAUGUGAACUUGAAGUAGACCUAUAUAAGCGGGUGGUUAUCACCAUAAAAAACAAAGGGAUUGUUUCUUCUGAAGCUAUUGGAGAAGCUGCCAAAGCUUAUGCAUAUAGAAGGUUUCCAGGCUUUAAUAAAGGAGCCUUCCAAUUCAAUGAUGUCUCCAAAUGUCGCCCAAUAUUGGAUACGGUGGUAUGGCUAUUGCCCUCUGAGAAAGGUUGCGUCUCUUGUAGUUUCUUGUUUAAAUUGCUAAAAGCAUCAAUUUCACUAGACUCUGGAGAAACUGUGAAGGCAGAACUAGUCAAGAGAAUAGGACAGCAAUUGGAAGAAUCUUCUGUGAAUGAUCUUUUGAUUCGAGCGGCAGAUGGGGAAGGAACCAUGUAUGAUGCCCAUGUUGUACAGAAAAUACUAGAAGCGUUUAUGAUGAGAGAUAAGGAUUCUGAACCUCAGUUAGAAGAUGAAGAUGAAAUUCAGGAGGUCCGAAAGCCAGGGAUUUUAUCAGAAGCUUCAAAACUGAUGGUGGCAAAGCUAGUUGAUGGAUAUCUUACCGAAAUUGCAAGAGAUCCUAAUCUCCCUAUAUCAACAUUUGUUGGUCUGGCAGAGAUGGUAUCUAAUUUCCCUCGACCCGGUCAUGAUGGAAUUUAUCGCGCAAUUGAUAUGUACCUUAAGGAGCAUCCUGGAAUCAGCAAGAGUGAGAGGAAAAGAAUUUGUAAGCUGAUGGACUGCAAGAAGCUCUCUGUGGAUGCUUGUAUGCAUGCUGUCCAAAAUGAGAGGCUUCCCCUUCGUGUUGUUGUACAAGUGCUGUUUUUUGAGCAAGUCAGGGCUAACGCCUCAUCUGGAAGCAGUACUCCGGAUCUUCCAAAAGCAAUUAGGGACCUUAACAGUACUUCAUAUGGAAGCUCAAGAUCUGCAACAACUAAUACAGAAGAAGAUUGGGAUGCUGCAGCCUCUGCAGAAGAACUCAGGGCUUUGAGGGGAGAGUUGGCAGCCUUAAGAAUGGGAAAUGGAGGAACAAAUGACAAAGUCAAUGUUAUUGAUGCCAAGAGCCAUGCAGACAGGGCUGCCAUGAGUAAAAUGAAAGGUUUGCUCAUGUCAAAGAGGCUCUUUUCGAAAAUCUGGUCAAACAAAGGUGGACAAGGGGAGAAUAGUGGCUCAGAUUCGUCCGAGAGUCUUGGAUCUGCUAAUAACUUGGAAGAAGCUAAAUCUACACCUUCAAGAAAAGUAAGGCAUUCAGUUUCUUAGUUCUAACAGCUUUUAGGAAUGCAUUGUUGGUGGCCUUUUUUUGAACUUAAAAAUGAUGUUAGCAUAUGUCAAAAGACUAGUCAUCUUUCUCUGAAGUCUCUAGAAGAAAAUUGAAGGAUAUAGUAUUAACAAAAAGUUUGUAGGAUGAAAUGAAGCCCCUUUUAUGAGCCAAAAAAA